This 405-nucleotide ribosomal RNA is filed under the name uncultured bacterium. RNAcentral describes it as "partial 16S ribosomal RNA". It matches the Rfam family "Bacterial small subunit ribosomal RNA", at positions 30 to 526 of the family's 1533-position model. The record is from RNAcentral.
AUUGAACGCUGGCGGCAGGCUUAACACAUGCAAGUCGAACGAGUGGCGGACGGGUGAGUAAUGCUUGGGAAUCUAGCUUAUGGAGGGGGAUAACUACGGGAAACUGUAGCUAAUACCGCAUACCAUAGGAUGAGCCCAAGUGGGAUUAGGUAGUUGGUGGGGUAAAGGCUCACCAAGCCGACGAUCCCUAGCUGGUCUGAGAGGAUGACCAGCCACACUGGAACUGAGACACGGUCCAGACUCCUACGGGAGGCAGCAGUGGGGAAUAUUGCGCAAUGGGGGCAACCUGACGCAGCCAUGCCGCGUGAAUGAAGAAGGCCUUCGGGUUGUAAAGUUCUUUCGGUGGCGAGGCGUUAACUACAGAAGAAGCACCGGCUAACUCCGUGCCAGCAGCCGCGGUAAUAC